RNAcentral lists this ribosomal RNA (512 nucleotides) under uncultured bacterium. Its description in RNAcentral is "partial 16S ribosomal RNA". It matches the Rfam family "Bacterial small subunit ribosomal RNA", at positions 28 to 507 of the family's 1533-position model. The record is from RNAcentral.
GAUGAACGCUGGCGGCGUGCCUAAUACAUGCAAGUCGAACGAAACUUCUUUAUCACCGAGUGCUUGCACUCACCGAUAAAGAGUUGAGUGGCGAACGGGUGAGUAACACGUGGGCAACCUGCCCAAAAGAGGGGGAUAACACUGGAAAACAGGUGCUAUUACGGCAUAACAAUAGUUACCGCAUGGUAACAUUGUAAAAGGUGGCUAUACUACGGCUUUUGGUUGGGCCCGCGGCGCAUUAGCUAGUUGGUAGGGUAAAGGCUUACCAAGGCAAUGAUGCGUAGCCGAAUUGAGAGGUUGAUCGGCCACAUUGGGACUGAGACACGGCCCAAACUCCUACGGGAGGCAGCAGUAGGGAAUCUUCCACAAUGGGCGAAAGCCUGAUGGAGCAACGCCGCGUGGGUGAAGAAGGUCUUCGGAUCGUAAAACCCUGUUGUUAGAGAAGAAAGUGCGUGAGAGUAACUGUUCACGUUUCGACGGUAUCUAACCAGAAAGCCACGGCUAACUACGUG